Molecule: long non-coding RNA, 236 nt
Organism: Notothenia coriiceps (black rockcod)
Lineage: Eukaryota; Metazoa; Chordata; Actinopteri; Perciformes; Nototheniidae
Exons: 3
Source: RefSeq, a predicted model, not a curated record
CUCCUACAACAGACACACUCUGGUGGCUGAUCCGUUCGAGGAUGGCAUCGAUGACUUACUCAUCAAAAAGCAGAAGAUGAUCGAGCUGGAGAAGAAGAUUAAAGACAUGAAUAACUACCUGACGGUGCCUGCUGCCCCCCCCGACUCCCCCACCAUGUGUAGAGCCAGGUUGUCCUCAGGCAAAGAUACUGAUUUCAAACCUGCUCAGCAGCAAAACGGAAACAAAACCGGGCCAG